GACUUUGCCGGAUUAGCUGAGAGGUGGUGCAUGGCCGUCGUCAGUUCGUACUGUGAAGCAUCCUGUUAAGUCAGGCAACGAGCGAGACCCACGCCCACAGUUGCCAGCGUACUCUCUGGAGUGACGGGUACACUGUGGGGACCGCCGCUGCUAAAGCGGAGGAAGGAAUGGGCAACGGUAGGUCAGUAUGCCCCGAAUAUCCCGGGCUACACGCGAGCUACAAUGGUUGGUACAAUGGGUAUCUACCCGAAAGGGGACGGGAAUCUCCUAAAACCAAUCUUAGUUCGGAUUGAGGGCUGCAACUCGCCCUCAUGAAGCUGGAAUCCGUAGUAAUCGCGUUUCAACAGAACGCGGUGAAUACGUCCCUGCUCCUU
Molecule: ribosomal RNA, 374 nt
Filed under: uncultured Methanosaeta sp.
Lineage: Archaea; Methanobacteriati; Methanobacteriota; Methanomicrobia; Methanotrichales; Methanotrichaceae
Description: bacterial SSU rRNA
Rfam family: Archaeal small subunit ribosomal RNA
Source: RNAcentral